Molecule: small nuclear RNA, 107 nt
Filed under: Myotis davidii
Lineage: Eukaryota; Metazoa; Chordata; Mammalia; Chiroptera; Vespertilionidae
Source: RNAcentral
GUGCUUGCUUUGGCAGCACAUAUACAAAAAUUAGAACGAUACAGAGAAGACUAGCAUGGCCCCUGAGCAAGGAUGACAUGCAAAUUCACAAAGCAUUCCAUAUUUUU